UACAGAGGUCUCAAGCGUUGUUCGGAUUCAUUGGGCGUAAAGGGUGUGUAGGUGGCGCCGUAAGUGGGGUGUGAAAUUUCGAGGCUUAACCUCGAAACUGCAUUCCAUACUGCGGUGCUUGAGGACUGGAGAGGAGACUGGAAUUUACGGUGUAGCAGUGAAAUGCGUAGAUAUCGUAAGGAAGACCAGUGGCGAAGGCGGGUCUCUGGACAGUUCCUGACACUGAGACACGAAGGCCAGGGGAGCAAACGGG
RNAcentral lists this ribosomal RNA (253 nucleotides) under uncultured bacterium. RNAcentral describes it as "partial 16S ribosomal RNA". It matches the Rfam family "Bacterial small subunit ribosomal RNA", at positions 524 to 776 of the family's 1533-position model. The record is from RNAcentral.